GACGAACGCUGGCGGCGUGCCUAAUACAUGCAAGUAGAACGCUGAAGAGAGGAGCUUGCUCUUCUUGGAUGAGUUGCGAACGGGUGAGUAACGCGUAGGUAACCUGCCUUGUAGCGGGGGAUAACUAUUGGAAACGAUAGCUAAUACCGCAUAACAAUGGAUGACACAUGUCAUUUAUUUGAAAGGGGCAAUUGCUCCACUACAAGAUGGACCUGCGUUGUAUUAGCUAGUAGGUGAGGUAAUGGCUCACCUAGGCGACGAUACAUAGCCGACCUGAGAGGGUGCUCGGCCACCCUGGGACUGAGACACGGCCCAGACUCCUACGGGAGGCAGCAGUAGGGAAUCUUCGGCAAUGGGGGCAACCCUGACCGAGCAACGCCGCGUGAGUGAAGAAGGUUUUCGGAUCGUAAAGCUCUGUUGUAAGUCAAGAACGGGUGUGAGAGUGGAAAGUUCACACUGUGACGGUAGCUUACCAGAAAGGGACGGCUAACUACGUG
RNAcentral lists this ribosomal RNA (497 nucleotides) under uncultured bacterium. RNAcentral's name for it is "partial 16S ribosomal RNA". It matches the Rfam family "Bacterial small subunit ribosomal RNA", at positions 28 to 507 of the family's 1533-position model. The record is from RNAcentral.